AUAAAGAUUUCGGUUUUUAUCUUAGUGGCGCACGGGUGAGUAACACGUGAAUAACCUGACCCAAAGAGGGGGAUAACACCUGGAAACAGGUGCUAAUACCGCAUAAGACCACAAUGUCGCAUGACGAAGGGGUCAAAGAAAAUCGCUUUGGGAGGGGUUCGCGUCCCAUUAGGUAGUAGGCGGGGUAAUAGCCCACCUAGCCGACGAUGGGUAGCCGAGCUGAGAGGCUGAUCGGCCACACUGGAACUGAGACACGGUCCAGACUCCUACGGGAGGCAGCAGUGGGGAAUAUUGGGCAAUGGGCGCAAGCCUGACCCAGCAACGCCGCGUGAGGGAAGAAGGUUUUCGGAUUGUAAACCUCUGUCGCAGAAGACGAAGGAAGUGACGGUAUUCUGUGAGGAAGCCCCGGCUAACUACGUGCCAGCAGCCGCGGUAAUACGUAGGGGGCGAGCGUUGUCCGGAAUUACUGGGCGUAAAGGGAGCGUAGGCGGUCUGAUAAGUUGGAUGUGAAAUACCCGGGCUUAACUUGGGGGGUGCAUCCAAUACUGUUGGACUAGAGUACAGGAGAGGAAAGCGGAAUUCCUAGUGUAGCGGUGAAAUGCAUAGAUAUUAGGAGGAACAUCGGUGGCGAAGGCGGCUUUCUGGACUGCAACUGACGCUGAGGCUCGAAAGCGUGGGGAGCAAACAGGAUUAGAUACCCUGGUAGU
This 707-nucleotide ribosomal RNA is filed under the name uncultured bacterium. RNAcentral's name for it is "bacterial SSU rRNA". It matches the Rfam family "Bacterial small subunit ribosomal RNA", at positions 71 to 794 of the family's 1533-position model. The record is from RNAcentral.